Molecule: small nuclear RNA, 119 nt
Filed under: Cucumis sativus (cucumber)
Lineage: Eukaryota; Viridiplantae; Streptophyta; Magnoliopsida; Cucurbitales; Cucurbitaceae
Description: snRNA U5
Rfam family: U5 spliceosomal RNA
About the family: U5 RNA is a component of both types of known spliceosome. The precise function of this molecule is unknown, though it is known that the 5' loop is required for splice site selection and p220 binding, and that both the 3' stem-loop and the Sm site are important for Sm protein binding and cap methylation.
Source: RNAcentral
AAGCCGUGCGGUGAACUCACAGCGAAUUAUUCUUUCGCCUUUUACUAAAGGAUACCGUGUGUUCGCCGUUUCAAGCGGCAUACGCCUAUUUUUGGAGGGACCUAUUUUACGAUUGGUCC